This 400-nucleotide ribosomal RNA is filed under the name uncultured bacterium. Its description in RNAcentral is "partial 16S ribosomal RNA". It matches the Rfam family "Bacterial small subunit ribosomal RNA", at positions 338 to 735 of the family's 1533-position model. The record is from RNAcentral.
CCUACGGGUGGCAGCAGUGAGGAAUAUUGGUCAAUGGACGGAAGUCUGAACCAGCCAAGCCGCGUGCAGGAAGACGGCUCUAUGAGUUGUAAACUUCUUUUGUACAAGGGUAAAGCUGGAUACGUGUAUUCAGCUGAAAGUACUUUACGAAUAAGGAUCGGCUAACUCCGUGCCAGCAGCCGCGGUAAUACGGAGGAUCCAAGCGUUAUCCGGAUUUAUUGGGUUUAAAGGGUGCGUAGGCGGUUUGUUAAGUUAGAGGUGAAAUGUCCGGGCUUAACUCGGGAACUGCCUUUAAUACUGUCAGUCUUGAGAGUAGGUGAGGUAGGCGGAAUGUGUGGUGUAGCGGUGAAAUGCUUAGAGAUCAUGCAGAACUCCGAUUGCGAAGGCAGCUUACCAAUCU